RNAcentral lists this ribosomal RNA (271 nucleotides) under uncultured bacterium. RNAcentral's name for it is "partial 16S ribosomal RNA". It matches the Rfam family "Bacterial small subunit ribosomal RNA", at positions 524 to 791 of the family's 1533-position model. The record is from RNAcentral.
UACGUAGGGGGCGAGCGUUGUCCGGAGUUACUGGGCGUAAAGCGCACGCAGGCGGUCUGCUAAGUUUGGAGUGACAGUUGAUGGCUCAACCAUCAAAGUGCUUCGAAAACUGACAGACUUGAGGGCUUCAGAGGGACACGGAAUUCCAGGUGUAGUGGUGAAAUACGUAGAUAUCUGGAGGAACACCGGUGGCGAAGGCGGCUACCUGGCCCAACAUUGACACUGAGACCCGAAAGCGUGGGGAUCAAAACAGGAUUAGGAAAACCCGAGU